RNAcentral lists this ribosomal RNA (719 nucleotides) under Thalassiosira rotula. Its description in RNAcentral is "partial Bacterial small subunit ribosomal RNA". It matches the Rfam family "Bacterial small subunit ribosomal RNA", at positions 340 to 1068 of the family's 1533-position model. Lineage: Eukaryota; Bacillariophyta; Thalassiosirophyceae; Thalassiosirales; Thalassiosiraceae. The record is from RNAcentral.
UACGGGAGGCAGCAGUGGGGAAUAUUGCACAAUGGGCGGAAGCCUGAUGCAGCAACGCCGCGUGCGGGAUGACGGCCUUCGGGUUGUAAACCGCUUUCGCCUGUGACGAAGCGUGAGUGACGGUAAUGGGUAAAGAAGCACCGGCUAACUACGUGCCAGCAGCCGCGGUGAUACGUAGGGUGCGAGCGUUGUCCGGAUUUAUUGGGCGUAAAGGGCUCGUAGGUGGUUGAUCGCGUCGGAAGUGUAAUCUUGGGUCUUAACCCUGAGCGUGCUUUCGAUACGGGUUGACUUGAGGAAGGUAGGGGAGAAUGGAAUUCCUGGUGGAGCGGUGGAAUGCGCAGAUAUCAGGAGGAACACCGAUGGCGAAGGCAGGUCUCUGGGCUGUUACUGACGCUGAGGAGCGAAAGCAUGGGGAGCGAACAGGAUUAGAUACCCUGGUAGUCCAUGCCGUAAACGUUGGGCACUAGGUGUGGGGAACAUUCCACGUUUUCCGCGCCGUAGCUAACGCAUUAAGUGCCCCGCCUGGGGAGUACGGCCGCAAGGCUAAAACUCAAAGGAAUUGACGGGGGCCCGCACAAGCGGCGGAGCAUGCGGAUUAAUUCGAUGCAACGCGUAGAACCUUACCUGGGUUUGACAUGGAUCGGGAGUGCUCAGAGAUGGGUGUGCCUCUUUUGGGGUCGGUUCACAGGUGGUGCAUGGCUGUCGUCAGCUCGUGUCGU